GAUGAACGCUGGCGGCGUGCCUAAUACAUGCAAGUCGAGCGAACGGACGAGAAGCUUGCUUCUCUGAUGUUAGCGGCGGACGGGUGAGUAACACGUGGAUAACCUACCUAUAAGACUGGGAUAACUUCGGGAAACCGGAGCUAAUACCGGAUAAUAUUUUGAACCGCAUGGUUCAAAAGUGAAAGACGGUCUUGCUGUCACUUAUAGAUGGAUCCGCGCUGCAUUAGCUAGUUGGUAAGGUAACGGCUUACCAAGGCAACGAUGCAUAGCCGACCUGAGAGGGUGAUCGGCCACACUGAAAGUGAGACACGGUACAGACACCUACGGGAGGCAGCAGUAGGGAAUCUUCCGAAAUGGGCGAAAGCCUGACGGAGCAACGCAGCGUGAGUGAAGAAGGGCUUCGGAUCGUAAAACUCUGUUAUUAGGGAAGAACAGAUGUGUAAGUAACGGUGCACAUCUUGACGGUACCUAAAAAGAAAGCCACGGCUAACUACGU
This 496-nucleotide ribosomal RNA is filed under the name uncultured bacterium. RNAcentral describes it as "partial 16S ribosomal RNA". It matches the Rfam family "Bacterial small subunit ribosomal RNA", at positions 28 to 506 of the family's 1533-position model. The record is from RNAcentral.